Molecule: ribosomal RNA, 265 nt
Filed under: uncultured archaeon
Lineage: Archaea
Description: partial 16S ribosomal RNA
Rfam family: Archaeal small subunit ribosomal RNA
Source: RNAcentral
ACACGACUACAUUAGAUACCCGUGUAGUCCUAGCCGUAAACGAUACUCGCUAGGUGUCGGCCACGGUGCGACCGUUGUCGGUGCCGUAGGGAAGCCGUGAAGCGAGCCACCUGGGAAGUACGGCCGCAAGGCUGAAACUUAAAGGAAUUGGCGGGGGAGCACAACAACGGGUGGAGCUUGCGGUUUAAUUGGAUUCAACGCCGGAAAUCUUACCGGGUCCGACAGCAACAUGAAGGCCAAGCUGAAGACUUUGCCGGAUUAGCUG